Molecule: non-coding RNA, 111 nt
Organism: Picea glauca (white spruce)
Lineage: Eukaryota; Viridiplantae; Streptophyta; Pinopsida; Pinales; Pinaceae
Source: Rfam
UUCACAUAAGCACCAAAAAGAAAUACGAUAAAAUUGGAAUGAUACAGAGAAUAUUAGCAUGGCCCCUUUGCAAGGAUGACAUGCAAAAAUUGAGAAAUGGUCCAAAUCAUU